UUUUGUCAAGUAAAUUAAGAAAUGUGAACAGAGAACAUUUUUAAAAAUGACAAAAAGAUCUGUGCUUCUCAUUGAUUUUUCAUAUUCUAUUUUUUUUUUUUUUUUUUUUUUCCUGAUAACUACAUAAACCUCUGUUAAAACAUCGCUAUUCAGAUUCAUAUACUAUACAUAUGAUGAUCAUUUAAUUAAAUUUUUUAUGAGCCUUUGGAUGUUUUUGUAGUUCUUCUGAUGGUUUUGUAGCCUAAUAUACAACAUUUAAAUGGAGUUUAUAGUACCAAGCAAUAAAUGAGCAAGAACAUACACUAAAACAAUAAUAUUAGUCAAAAUAUUAUUUUAAUUUAUGUAUCAAAAUUGAAACAGACAAUACAACAAAAUAAUAAAAAAAUAACACAGAUGUUAAUUCAGAAAAUAUUUUACCUGAAAUGAGAUUGGUUGACAUCUGAUAGAUUUUUUGACGUAUCUUUGUUUGUGUGUGGAAGAACAGUUUGAAGAACAGUUAGGAGGGGCUAGUAAGUGUUUUUUUUUUUUUUUUUUUUUUUUUGUGGCCAGCACCUUCCUAAUACAAAGCACUUUACAUAUAAAUGAAAAAUAAACAAGGCAGAAUGUUUCUCUGUCCCUCUAAAUAGAGAAUACAUUAACAUUACUACUACUAAUAAUAAUAGUAACAACAACAACAAUAUAAUAGUUAAACUGUCAAAAUAGGAAAUAAUAAUUUAAAACAUUUAAAAUGUAUGCUCUGUUAUCAGUGUGCUGGCAUCUUUGUCUCACCAAAGCAGAAUUAUGAAUGUUUCUAUGCUGGAUGUUACUAUUGGCUUGUGCAUGGGAGACAAGGACCACCACUAAUUUCAGUAAUUAAUACAUAAUGAUUAUUGGUGGGUUUUCACUGAUAAAACAAGACAAAAAAUGUAUCAAAUAUUGCAACUGAGAAAAGCUGCAGUAAAUUCAACCGUUUUGGGUCACAAAAAUUCUUUUGAGACCAUGAACUCAUUUAACCUAAUUAGACAUUACAAAUGUCAUUCUGGUAUUUUUUCUAUAACUGAUGAUCAGAACUUUUCAAAGAACAACAGCUCAUGUGUUUAUGUUGAAAAAACACAAACAUUUAAAAGUCCACAGUAGACUCAUCAUCAGCACUUUUAAUUUUAAAAAACAGCCACAUGCCAUAUAAAGACUAUUUAAUGCACCAUAUUACAAUAAACAAAGCUGUAAGGAGAGGUUCCUAGAUCUG
Molecule: long non-coding RNA, 1225 nt
Organism: Cyprinus carpio (common carp)
Lineage: Eukaryota; Metazoa; Chordata; Actinopteri; Cypriniformes; Cyprinidae
Source: Ensembl